Neofelis nebulosa (Clouded leopard) is the source of this 3676-nucleotide RNA transcript. It is a transcript of the gene named family with sequence similarity 237 member B, with no coding region annotated. The record is from RefSeq and is a predicted model, not a curated record. NCBI's taxonomy places the organism in Eukaryota, Metazoa, Chordata, Mammalia, Carnivora, Felidae. The transcript is spliced from 9 exons.
GAGCAUGAGCAGGCAAGGGGCAAAGAGAGAGGAAGACACAGAAUCCAAAGCAGGCUCCAGACUCUGAGCUGUCAGCACAGAUUCUGACAUGGAGCUCGAACUCCCAAACCAUGAGAUCAUGAUCUGAGCUGAAAUCAGACGCUUAACUGACUGAGCUACCCAGGCGCCUCAAGCCUGUUUCUUUUUAUAAUAACUACUCAGAUUUGCAGGAAAUUUCAUAUAUAACACAUAAUUGAAAAUAUAGUUCUAUAUUAUACUAUAGUACUACAAAAAUAAACAAUUUUACAUUAUUCAUCUCAUUUCUCUCUAUUAAUAAUAGUUACUCAGGAGGUGAAUAGCUUAUCCCAGAAUUUGCUAUGAAUUAACUUUCUGAUACUCCAUCAUCUACAGUUUUUUUUUUAGCAUCUACAGUUUUUAUGAAUAUUAUGCUAGCAAGAAGUAAUCAUUAGAUUAGAUUUACUAGUACUUACUAGUAAAAUGUUUUCUCUCUGCAUUUCCUUUUCCAGAGUCACCCCAAGGACAAAGUGUUGAAAUAAUAGUUUGUUUUUAGUAUUCUUAACCUUCCCUUUUUGCACUCCUCCCCACCCCCCCCCCCCACUGCCGACACUAUAAUUACUUUUUACUACAGGUACUAAGUACCCUUCUGCUAUCCUCUCGCAGUACCCGUGAAAACUGGAUCUCAGACAUGAAUAUGAUACCUGCAUUUUACAACCUGACAUGAUUUUAACCCAAUGUGUUAAUUCUCUCAGGGCAUCUGCUUUUAGUUUUUUAUCUCUAUUUGUGGAAUGAACAAAAGGCCCUAACUUCUACUAAAACAAUUUAAAGCUUUACUGUGGGAGAUCCUCCAGUGGGGGAAUAUAUGGAAAGAGUAAGGCUUCAGUAUAACGGAGGUGGCAGCUUAUAUUGCUUCUAUAAGAUUCAUUCUAAACUUAAUUAUUUUAUUGAUUCUAUAGUGAAAUUGUUAUCAGGCUUCACUAGUUUUCAUGUACAGAGGAAAUAAUUUAACCCAAAGGUCUUUUUCACUGUAAUCCUUUAUCCAUAUGAUCUCCAGAGGUGUUUUAUUCCCUCUUAAACACAAUGCAUUUGAUCAUAUCACUGUUUUCAAGAUCCCCUUAUGAUCUUAGAAUGACUGCUAUUGUUCCAGACAUCAUAUCCAUGUUCCAGGUGGGAACAUUUAUAAAAUUUCUUUCUUGGAAGUUCCAUGCUUAUGUCUCAUUGCUACCUCUAUCUUGAAAAGCUCUUUUUUUAAUUUUUUUUUUUAUUUUUAAUAAGGUGGUUACUUUGUCAUCUCUAGCGGUUUAGAUGUAUUUGUCUUAUUCUUUUUAGUAUUUCCUAACAGGGUCCAUUUGGCCCAGGCCUCAGACUCAAUAUAUGCACCCUGCAUUUGUUAAUUUAUUCUUAAGAAAUAUGGUGGCUAUAUUGCUAACUCCUAUGACAUAUGAAUCACCUGAAGUGGGGCACAGAGUUAUUCUUGUUACCCUCAUAACAUAAAUUAUUUUAGUUUCAUGCCAUUAAAAAUAUUGUUACUCUGAGAACAAUUAUUAAUUGGGGUCUGAAACUCAGUGAUUAAAUCAAGUUCUCCUAGGUAAUAAGGGCAAAUAUAUUGAACAAAUGAGAGCCAUAUACCAGUUAAGGUUCAUCUUUCUAGAUUAAAAUGUAGUAUUGUCAAACUGAGGGCCUCUGGCCAUGUAAUUAUUGCCCUGAAACAAAACCCAUGUGAAGAAAAAUAGAUUUAUUGCCUUUCUUCCUAGGGAUUUAUAGUUUGUUCCUUCUUUCAUUCACAUAACAAUUACUGAAUUCCAAAUUUAUCCCACAUACUCAUCUGUGGGCUGGAACACUGCCAUGGUUACUGGAAUAACUGAGCAAGAAUAAGCAGAGUAGUUGUAUUAAUGAAAGCAAGAAGUAAAUACUAAUAUUUCUGAUACCUGAAUUCAUAGUGAAUGGAGAAACUUAUUCCUAUUGAACAUGAUUUUGCUUUGUUCUUAAUGCACCCUGUUUUUAAUUUGAAGAAUGUUAUUGAAAGGUUAUUUUCUUAGAAAUAUUUAUAGAAAUCCUAAGAAAUGGUUGAAUCAUGUUUUUAAGACCCCCAGUGUCAACCACCUGUACUAGAAGGAUAAAAGUAUUUUAAGGGGCUUCCACUAUACUAUGAGUCACUGAUUGCUCUCUUUUUAAUACUUUCUUGUAAUCAUCUACAUGUAUAAUAAUGGCUGUGGAAUUAUCAGAAGGACCUUUGAUAAUACUGCUUCCUGCUUAUCCAAAACAAGAGCACUCAUACAGCAGGAAAUUCAGUAUUCAGCAUUAGUCAGUCAACAUGUCCCUGCUGUGUGUGUGGAGUGCUCUUCUAAAUUCUGUGGGGUGUGAUGAUGGCAGUAUUUCCUGGAGAAGCAUGCUGUAUAAAGGAGAACUGGAAUAAACACAAGUGUGACAGAACUGCAACUAAGUGAUUGGAAGAAAAGGAGCGUGGUUUCGGGCUGCGCGCUGACUAGGGCGCCACUCGCGAGGCCGCAACACAGCCCGCAGCGCCGCCAUCGGCGAGCCAGAGCCUUCCAGCCCCGGAGCAUCGAACUGCGGACACACUUCAGCUGGGCGAGUUUGAGGAGCCGCCUGCAACCUUCGAGUGAGCUCGGCGCGCACAGAGCACCGCGCUGGACGCGCGCCUCGGCGCAGACAAGAGGACUGGAUUUUACAAAACAUGAGUUUUACAUAGAAGAUAGAGAACAUGGAAAAUACUUCAAGCAAAGUGACAUCAACCUGAAGGUUUAAUUCUGAUCCCAUCCAGGACUCCAUAAUAUAUUAAGGUAUCAUGUCUCCUUAGGCUCGAAGAAGGUGUUUUCAUUCAAUGACCUUGACAGUUUUGAGUGCUGAUAAGGGCUUCCUGUCAAGAAGAAGAACAAAUUAUGAUUUCUAAUAUCUUGGUGGUGGUGGUAAUAAAGAAAAGGAUUAGGGAGAGACAAAGCUGCAUGAUGCCACUACCUUCACAGAUGGGGAUAAUGGAAAGUUUCUGGUGGAAUGUGAGAUGAGCGAGUGAAGGAACAAGAGCCAUUAGAUACCAAAUUCACCUACUUCUCAGUUGUGCCCGGUUCCUGGGCACAACAAUGGCGGUAACGUUGAGCCCCCCUGCAGCCUUGGGAGUGGAGAGCUGCUGCUCCUGAAAGUCUUUCUUCUCCCUACCCUAUUGGAAUACGUCCGCAAAACUGAUAAGGCAAAUUCCCCGUUCCUCCUCAUGCAAAAGUGCUGUUGCCCACAGUUAAAACCGUGCAAAUGUCAGAGAGUCCUCAGGGAGUUAAUCUUAUUCCCAAAGAAGAGGUCCCCAGUCAACUGGCCACUCCCAAGGAACUCUCCAAGGUUCCAGGAUGUGGACGUAGGAGACAGGGUUCCUGACGCAGCCUGGGACUCGCAAAACCUCCACAGGAAUUCCCAUAGUGACCCCACGUCAUCAGUGUGAAGAGGUAGGGUAGGAUUCCUCCAGAGAAUUCACGCUUUAGGGUUUGAUCAAUACUCUCUAGGGAGGGGCAAUGGAACCCUAGUAUGAAACAAACGACGUGGAGUUUACAAACACUUCCGCCACGAAUGGAGAUCCAGCCGAGGGUUCCGAAGUGAAAUAUCUCAACAGACCAACUUAGAAGAACUAAUUUUGUAUUCCUAAUAAAAAUAAACUCAAAACCAAAUACAAGUA